CCUACGGGUGGCUGCAGUGGGGAAUAUUGCACAAUGGGGGAAACCUUGAUGCAGCAACGCCGCGUGAGUGAUGAAGGUCUUCGGAUCGUAAAGCUCUGUCUUCAGGGACGAUAAUGACGGUACCUGAGGAGGAAGCCACGGCUAACUACGUGCCAGCAGCCGCGGUAAUACGUAGGUGGCGAGCGUUGUCCGGAUUUACUGGGCGUAAAGGGAGCGUAGGCGGACUUUUAAGUGAGAUGUGAAAUACUCGGGCUCAACCCGGGGGCUGCAUUUCAAACUGAAAGUCUAGAGUGCAGGAGAGGAGAGUGGAAUUCCUAGUGUAGCGGUGAAAUGCGUAGAGAUUAGGAAGAACACCAGUGGCGAAGGCGGCUCUCUGGACUGUAACUGACGCUGAGGCUCGAAAGCGUGGGGAGCAAACAGGAUUAGAUACCCGUGUAGUC
RNAcentral lists this ribosomal RNA (440 nucleotides) under uncultured bacterium. RNAcentral's name for it is "bacterial SSU rRNA". It matches the Rfam family "Bacterial small subunit ribosomal RNA", at positions 338 to 795 of the family's 1533-position model. The record is from RNAcentral.